GUACUUAACACAUGCAAGUCGAACGGGGAUCGUCGGGUUAGCAAUAAUUCGGCGGUCCUAGUGGCGUACGGGUGAGUAACACGUGGGCAACUUGCCCUUGAGACCGGGAUACCCUCUCGAAAGGGAGGCUAAUACUGGAUACGUUCUUCGGGUCGCAAGAUCUGGAGAGGAAAGGUGGCGCAAGCUACCGCUCUUGGAGAGGCUCGCGGCCUAUCAGCUAGUUGGUGAGGUAAUGGCUCACCAAGGCUAUGACGGGUAGCUGGUCUGAGAGGACGACCAGCCACACGGGAACUGAGACACGGUCCCGACUCCUACGGGAGGCAGCAGUGGGGAAUUUUCCGCAAUGGGCGAAAGCCUGACGGAGUGACGCCGCGUGGGGGACGAAGGCCUUCGGGUUGUAAACCCCUGUCAGAGGGAAAGAAGGGUGUCGGCGUGAUAACCGCCGGCACUUGACGGUACCUUCAGAGGAAGCCCCGGCCAACUCUGUGCCAGCAGCCGCGGUAAGACAGAGGGGGCAAGCGUUGCUCGGAAUCACUGGGCGUAAAGGGCGCGUAGGCGGGAUGGCAAGUCGGUCGUGAAAUCUCUCGGCUCAACCGAGAAACGUCGGCCGAUACUGCCGUUCUUGAGGGAUGCAGAGGAGACUGGAAUUCCCGGUGUAGCGGUGAAAUGUGUAGAGAUCGGGAGGAACACCGGUGGCGAAGGCGGGUCUCUGGGCAUUUC
RNAcentral lists this ribosomal RNA (720 nucleotides) under uncultured soil bacterium. RNAcentral describes it as "bacterial SSU rRNA". It matches the Rfam family "Bacterial small subunit ribosomal RNA", at positions 44 to 739 of the family's 1533-position model. The record is from RNAcentral.